AUAGUGAACCAGUACCGUGAGGGAAAGGCGAAAAGAACCCCGGCGAGGGGAGUGAAAAAGAACCUGAAACCGUGUACGUACAAGCAGUGGGAGCACCUUCGGGUGUGACUGCGUACCUUUUGUAUAAUGGGUCAGCGACUUAUAUUCUGUAGCAAGGUUAACCGUAUAGGGGAGCCGCAGGGAAACCGAGUCUUAACUGGGCGUUAAGUUGCAGGGUAUAGACCCGAAACCCGGUGAUCUAGCCAUGGGCAGGUUGAAGGUUGGGUAACACUAACUGGAGGACCGAACCGACUAAUGUUGAAAAAUUAGCGGAUGACUUGUGGCUGGGGGUGAAAGGCCAAUCAAACCGGGAGAUAGCUGGUUCUCCCCGAAAGCUAUUUAGGUAGCGCCUCGUGAACUCAUCUUCGGGGGUAGAGCACUGUUUCGGCUAGGGGGUCAUCCCGACUUACCAACCCGAUGCAAACUACGAAUACCGAAGAAUGUUAUCA
This 488-nucleotide ribosomal RNA is filed under the name Pseudomonas aeruginosa. Its description in RNAcentral is "partial 23S ribosomal RNA". It matches the Rfam family "Bacterial large subunit ribosomal RNA", at positions 487 to 977 of the family's 2925-position model. Lineage: Bacteria; Pseudomonadati; Pseudomonadota; Gammaproteobacteria; Pseudomonadales; Pseudomonadaceae. The record is from RNAcentral.